RNAcentral lists this long non-coding RNA (8093 nucleotides) under Gossypium barbadense (sea-island cotton). RNAcentral describes it as "long non-coding RNA (GBAR_LNC017243)". Lineage: Eukaryota; Viridiplantae; Streptophyta; Magnoliopsida; Malvales; Malvaceae. The record is from RNAcentral.
UUCAUCCUUCCUUUAUCUAAGUAAAAUAUUAAUAAAAUAAUAUUUAACUAAUUAAUUAAAAAAACCACCAAAAUAUCAUCAACAUCAUUAUUACAUUCUAGAAUUCUCCCUGUUGCUAAUUGACCAUUUUACCCUUUAUGAUUUUUUAAAAUUCCAUCAUUGAAUUAUCACUUAAUUUGGUAAAAUUACGAUUUAGUCCCUCACAAUUCUUCACCUAUUCAAUUUGGUCCCUGUAGGCCUAUUCCAUAUCUUAGGAAAUUAGAUUAUUUUCACUUUUGGUCUUUCAAAAUUUUCAUUUUUACAAUUCAAUCCCCUAAAUUUUGAAUAUUUACACUUGAGCCAAAAAAAAUUAACAUAUUUACAAUUUAGUCCCUUCCUUAAUGCAUUAUGUCAUGCUUUUUGAUUUAACUCACUGUUGAUAUAUUUCAAGUUUCAUUUUCUUUGAUCUUAUACCUUAUUUCGGUAAGAUUUUAUCUCACAUUAUUUACGACCAAGGGGGUUUUGAGGAUGUUAUAGGUCACACGGCUGCGUGGCAGCCCGUGUCCCAGGCCGUGUGCACCAAAUUUUGCUUCAAAAAAAAGGUAAACUUUACACCUAACUUGGCCACCAAUCCAAACCUAAAAACAUAACCAAAAAUACUCUCAAACAAAUCAAAACAUACCAAUUACCUACAAUUCAUGUGCCUAACCAAUGUGCCAUUCAAAUGAACCUCAAACAAAGACUAAUUAUCUCAUAACCUUGUUAAAGAGCAUAUGACAUUAACCACUUUCUCAUCCUCAAUCAACAUUCACCAAAAUGACCAAAUAUAACCAAUAUUACCAAGUUCCAUUUUACAAAGUAUUUACCAAUUCACAUCAAUAAUAUACACAUCCAAAAGAGUCAAGCUUAUCAACAUGCUUAUUUCAAUCACAACUAUAUACAAACAUUUGUUUCAAGACAUAACAUAAUUUUAAAUUUUAUAUGACUUUCAAUAUAAGUAAAUUAUACUAGAUUCAACCAUAGACCUAAAGACUAUUAGUCAAAAUAUCAUUAUCCUAGGUACAUGCCAUGACACAAAAAGAAAUACGUCACAAAUGUUGAGUUCAAGAUUUGUCGUGGAUGCUGAGUCAUUGAAAAAAAGUUUGCGCCCAGCGCUAGUCGAAUGAAUCGACAAUGGUUUCCUGCACUUCCAACACAAGAUCAGAUAAUCUCUAUUCCAUCAUAUCAUAACUAAACUUCUCAAGUUUACCAAUAUUGCUCUUCAUCAACUUAUUCAAUUCAAUAUACAACCCAUAAUUAUACACAUAAAUCAUUUAUCCAUAACCAACCAUUUAAAACUAUUUACUCAAUCAUUCAAUUAUUCUAAUUCAAAGGACUUAAGCUUGGCCGAACUGUUAAACUAAGCUUUAUUUGAUAAAGGAUUUUGAUAUAACAAAUUAAAAGUAUUUUUGAAUGUAAGAUAAAAAUGAUAAAAUAUUUUUUAAAUUUGAAUUCUAAGAAAUAAAAAUAUGAAUAUUUACAAUAAACUCUUAGAGAAUUUUGAAACAAUUUUAAAAUCAAGUGAAAAUUAUUUUAACCAAGUUAAAAUGAUCUUAAUUAAGUUAAAAUCAUUUUAACACAUCAAAAUGAUUUUCAAACAAGUCAUAAUUAUUUCAGGCCAAAAAGUAUCGAUACCAUUUGACCAAGUAUCGAUAAUUUUUUUUGAAAUAUCGAUACCCUUAGAAAAAUCGAGACCAAAAAGACAUUCUAUCAAAACCCUAAAAAUUAUCGAUACCAUGUUUUUGGUAUCGAUACUUUUUGAAAAUAAUCGAUACCUUUCUUCAAAACGAUACCAAACCCUACAAAGUACUGAUCUGGUAUCGAUACCUAUUUUAGGAAGUAUCGAUAAAAUAUUUUUAAAGUAUCGAUUAUUUUAUUCCAAUAUCGAUACCCUUUUUGGAGGUAUCGAUACUCGCUGUUACAGGUGAAAUAAAUGUUCUGGUUUUACAUCCCCAACGGCCAUAUUAAGUUCACCAACAACCUCAACGGCUGUAAAUCUAUUAGAGGGUAUAAAUACCAUCUUUUAAAGUCCUACAACAUCCAAGAAAAUACUUUCAAGCAAAAAUCAUCAAUCAAACAACCUUAGAACUUAAAUUUUCAUAUUCUUCGUACACACACUUGUGAGUUUUAUCUUUAUUCUUUUGCUCAAGUGUAUCUCAUUGUAUUUGUGCUUCAAUUUGCAAACAAUUUUAUCUAUCUUGUAAGAAUUGUUUCUUUGUUUGCUCAUUUGUAUCUCUUUGAGAGGGCUUGAAACUUAAGAUUUGGGGUAGAAAUCUUAAGGAGUUGUAAGGUUAAACAUUAUUCUCAAAGGUUAGAACAAAUUAGUGAAUUUGGGAAAAUCCUUAGUGGUGAAAAGCUAAGGUAGUGGAGUAGGCAAUUGGGGCCAAACCACUAUAAAUUCUUUGUGUUCAUUGUUUCAUUCUUAGCUUUUCUUGCACCAAAUUUUUUAAAGGCCAAUUCACCCCCUCUUGGCAUUUUCGGUUUACUUCAUCAAGAUAUCAAUAAUAUUUCAUGCAAUUAAUACAAUUAUAAAACUUAAAUAAGUUGUUUUAUACAAUUCAAUCCUUCCAUCAUCAUUUUACAAAAUUACCCUGACAUUUUACCUUUCACGCAAUUUAAUCCCUAAGUCUUAUACUUGUAAAUUCACUAAACUUAAUCAUUACUCAUGUUGGCCGAAUAUUCUAGGGACCUAUUACAGCCCAUAUUUAUCAUUAUUUCACAAUAUUUCUAUGAAAUUUAACUAUUUUCAUAAAUAAGUCCCUAAACCAUAAAAUCACUAAAAAUCACUUGACAAAACUUGUUUAUUUAACCACCAAAUUUAAUAAUCUAUCAUCUAAAUUCAAAAUAUAUUCAAAAUAUAUCAUGGCAAGUCCCUAAAAUUUUAACAAAUUUAUAAAUUAACCCCGGGCUAGCUAGAUUAAGCUAAAAUGAGUUCAAAAAUAUAAAAAUUAUUUAAAAUGGAUAAAAAAAAUCAUACCAUGCAAAGGACUUAAGCUUGGCUGAACCUUGAGGAUGCAAAAAUGGUGGUUUUUCCUUCUUCAUUUUUGGUGAUAUUGGAGAAGAAGAUGAUAGCUUUCUUUGAUUUAAUCUUGUUUUAAUUUAAUUUAUUUAAUUACCAAUUUACCCUUAGUAUAAUAACUAAUAACUACAAGAAUUUGUCCAUAAAUGUCCACUUGCCACCUUUGUGGUUUAUUUACCAUAUAAGCCCAUUAAUUAUAGAUUCCAUAUCCAUUUGACCCAUUUAGCAAAUAGAAUUCCACUUUUGCAACAUUUACGAUUUAAUCCUUUUUACUUAAUUAACUAUCUAAACCUUAAAAAUUCUUUACCAAAUUUUAAUACAACCUUAAUAACACUCCGUAAAUAACGAGAUCUCGAUAGCUCAUUUUUUAAAACCACUUGAACCUAACUAUUCAUUCAAACAAUAUAAAUUAUUAAAUCAAAAUUUAUUACAACACUAUAUUUGACUCGUAAAUAUUAAAUAAUAAUAUUUACAGACUCGUUUGUCGGAUUUGUGGCUCCAAAACCACUGUUUUCGAUACCACUGAAAAUGGGCUGUUAUAGUAUAUUUUUAUAUUAACUCUGUAAAUAUUCUUAUUUCAUAUUUACGGACUUGGUUUACGGAAAUGGAGUUUCGAAAUCUUUUUUUCUACACCACUAGAAUUCGAGUCGUUACAUCGUAUAAGGCUCGUUUAAGAUUGUAUAUCAUGUCAUAAUGAUGUUCUGGACUCAGUAAUAUGUAUUAAUUGUUAAAUUGAACUGUAAUCGAUCGUAGUUGUUCUGAUAACGUAUGUGACAUUUUGUAGCUCAGACCUGGUGAUUGGGUCACUAUGGGGUGUUGCAACAAUAUUUAUUCAAUUUGAUCUCUACUCUUUUAUUAGAUAUAAAUUAGAAAUUUUGAAACUAAUAAGGCUAAAGGAUAAAAAAAGGCCAUAAUAACAAUUUUAAAAAAUCAAUUAAGUCCUUUUAAAAUUUAAAAUUUAUUAAAAAAUUAAAAAAUUUAUAAAAAAUUUUAUAAAAAAUUAAAAUUAUAAAAUUUUCAUUAAAAAAAAUAAUACCAACCCAUUAAAAUCUAAUGGUUAUAAGUUUUUUUUUAAAAAUUUUGAUCCUUACUCUUUUAUUGGCUUGGUAUUGUUAUUUUUAAUAAAAAUGUAAUUUUAAUUUUUUUAACUUUUUAAAUGAUUUUUUAAAUAAUUUUUAAAAUUUAAAAGGUCUUAAUUGAUUUUUUUAAUUUGUUACGAACUGCUUUUUGAUACUUUAUCCUUAUUAGUUUAAAAAUGUUCUAAUCUACUUCCAAUAAAGGAAUAUGAGUCAAAUUGAAUAAAUAUGUAAAGGUUGAAGGCUAAAUUUUUUUUUAUUAUAUCUUAUAUAUACACACCAAAACAAACAUUUGACCAUGCAAUUUUAACAAAAGGGCUAUUUUGCUCACCCGUCUAACAUUUUGGUGAUACUUUUACCUUCUAUCCCGCUUAUUUAUAUGAAUAAUAAAACAAUAUUAUUUGAUUUAUUUUUAUUAAGUUUAAAGUAUUAUUAAAUAUAAAUAUAAAUAUAAAUUAACUAUUUAUUAAUUUUAUAAACAUCAAGUAGACCAAACAAAUUUACUGUAUAUAAACAUUUUAAUCUAAAAUUUUUAUGGCUAAAGGGCUUAAGGCCCUAAACUUUUUUUUUUUAAAUCAACUAAAAUUUUAUUUAUUUUCACUCAAUUGAGUCUUUAAACUUCAAAAUUACAUUUAACUAAUUCCUUUGGUCGUCAAAGGGUAAAUGCUGCCAUUUUGGGAGAUAUUUUCGUCAUGUGGCACGCCAAUAUUGUUUCACGUGGUGAAAUUUAGUGUUUUAUAUCUAAAAUUAUUCAAAAAGUAUUAAAAAUAUAAAAAUAUAGAAAAUAAAUAUAUAUUAUAAAAAUACAUAAACGUGAAAAAUUUUAUUAGAAAUUAUAAAAAAUAGAGAAGUGCAAAAAAUUUAUAUAAAAUUCACGUUAUAUGAAAUACGAAAAACUAAAAGAAGUAAAAAUUAAAAAAAAUUAAUAAUACAAAAAUAUUAAAAAUGAAUAAAUUUUACAAAAUAUUAUAAAAAGCAUAAAAAUAUUAGAAAAUAUAUAUGAAAAAAAUAAAAAUCAUUUUUUCAUUUGCACACUAACCAUCAUUUGACCCUCGAAACUAUUUGUUGUACACAUUUACUAUCAACCUUCCGGAGGCUUGUACCUUUCUUUCUAUCGUCAAUGUCAAGGGAGUGUUUUGAGAUGCAAAUUAAGGUAGGGAAAUAAGCUAAGAACACAAGGGACAAUAGAGGUUGUAUAUAAAAUUGUAAAUAUUUUUAAAAUUUGUAUCUUUUUUAAAAUUUUAUAUAAUUUUUAAAAUUUUCUAUUAUUUUUAAUAUUUUUUGCACUUUUCUAUAUUUUUAUAAUAAUUUUCUAUAUUUUAAAAUUUUCCAUAUUUUUAACAAUUUUUAUUUUUAAUUCAUAUAGUUUUAAAAUUAUUCAUUUUAAUAAUUUAUAUAAUUUGUAUAAUUUUUGAGACAUUUAUACUAUUUUUUUAUACUUUUUGCAUUUAUAUUUAUUUUUUAUAAUUUUUUUGUGAUUUUGAAUAUUUUAGUUUUUUAAUAAUUUCUUUUACGAUUUUCAGUAUUUUUUACCGAUUUUGAGAACAAAACAGCCCCAAAAGGGCAGCUGUUACCCCAAGGGGCUUAAUUAUUAUAAUUUUGAAGAUAAGGGGCUCAAUUGAGUGAAAAAAAAUAUAAGGGCUUAAUUGAUUUUUUUAGAAAAUUUCAGGGGCUUUUAGCUAUUUUUAUUAGUCAGGGUUUUUCAUUAUAAUACAUUUCAUUGCAACUGCUGCGUUUAAGUAUAAACAUAUUAAAGAAACAUGUGUAAUGAAUAAAAAAGAAGAAUUGGGUCAAAGCUACUCUUCUUUGCAAGCAAAAGACUAGUAGGUAGCAGAGUUGAGCAUUUAAGAGCUUAUGCAUUGUACAGAUUCCAUGUAUUUCAUUUUAUAUUUGAAUUUACAAUCAUUGAACAAAAGAUAAAAUAGAUACAACAAAAUGCCAACAUGAUCCUUGUGAUUAAUGUUAGCAACAGUUGAUUGAUCCUUUAUGAACUUAGACCUACCUUUAAUCAAAAAAAAUAUAGUGAGGUUAAUGUUUAUAGAUUUGUAAAGAAGAGAGUUGGAUGCAUCAUUUUGAUAGAUUAUAUAAUUAUAACCUAAUUGAUCAACUAUUUUCAAUGGUAAAUUAGAUGUAAAAUGUUGACUGUUAGAUUCAUCUCCAGCAACUAUCCCUACUCACAAGUCAACUGCACCCAAGUGUGAACAGCAGACGGGCAGGGCAUAACCACCAAAAUAGUUUGGUCUUUAUUUCUCAUGAAACUAAAUAUUUUUCCAUAAAACAUUUGAUUAAUUCAUAAGAUACCCUCAAAAACAUUGUUUCCCCCAUCUUCUUUGGACAGUUCCAGUGUUAUUUUGGUCACUUGCAAAGAAUGUUGUAGAGCUGACUGGUAGGCAUGGCUCAGUUAGCAUUAAUUUUCCACCUUAUAUACAAUACAAAUGCAAGAUUAAGAUCAGAUAUCACUGGCAACCCCGUUGAAAAAAUAUGGGUUUCCAAAGAAACAUAUUGGGUUUCCUUUUCUUGAUAUUGGCUUCACUAACAAGCCUCUCUUCUAGCCUUCCUAGUGAAUACUCCAUAGUGGAACAUGAGAUUGACGCAUUUCUUUCGGAGGAAAGGGUGUUGGAGAUCUUCCAACAGUGGAAAGAAAAGCAUCGGAAAGUGUACCGGCACGCCGAGGAGGCUGAGAAAAGGUUUGAAAAUUUCAAGGGGAAUUUGAAGUAUAUCCUAGAGAGGAAUGCAAAGAGAAAAGCAAACAAAUGGGAACAUCAUGUGGGAUUGAACAAGUUUGCUGAUAUGAGCAAUGAGGAGUUCAGAAAAGCUUACUUGUCAAAGGUGAAAAAGCCCAUCAACAAAGGGAUAACCCUGUCAAGGAACAUGAGGAGAAAGGUGCAGUCUUGUGAUGCACCCUCAUCCUUGGAUUGGAGGAACUAUGGAGUUGUGACUGCUGUCAAGGACCAAGGUUCUUGUGGUAAGAAAAUGCCCUACAUAUAGUGUAAGUUCCCCUUUGAGAAAAAACCUGAAUAACUGUGUCCUAUGUUUGCAGGAAGUUGUUGGGCAUUCUCAUCAACUGGAGCCAUGGAAGGAAUCAAUGCCUUAGUUACUGGAGACCUAAUUAGCCUUUCAGAACAAGAACUUGUAGAUUGUGAUACCAGCAACUAUGGGUGUGAAGGAGGAUACAUGGACUAUGCUUUCGAAUGGGUUAUAAACAAUGGCGGGAUCGAUAGCGAAAGCGACUACCCCUACACUGGUGUGGAUGGCACAUGUAACACCACCAAGGUCUGAUUCAUUUUUGUUUCAGUAGUUCAACCAGUUCUUCCUCUAAUUCUAAUGUAUUUGUCUUUAAUCAGGAGGAAACCAAGGUUGUAUCUAUUGAUGGCUAUCAAGAUGUAGAGCAAUCAGAUAGUGCUCUUUUAUGUGCCGUUGCUCAGCAACCUGUUAGUGUGGGAAUUGAUGGUUCCGCCAUUGAUUUUCAACUUUACACUGGUGUAAGUAUUUGUUUGGAACCUGGAAACUUUUUGUUUAAAACGAAAUUUUUGGGGUAAUGAAAUUCGUAUGGCAUGAUGCAUGAAUAGGGAAUUUAUGAUGGGAGCUGCUCGGAUGAUCCAGAUGACAUUGAUCAUGCUGUUUUAAUAGUUGGUUAUGGUUCAGAAGACAGUGAAGAGUAUUGGAUAGUGAAGAAUUCAUGGGGAACAAGUUGGGGGAUAGAUGGAUAUUUCUAUCUAAAAAGAGACACUGAUUUACCAUAUGGUGUUUGUGCUGUCAAUGCCAUGGCUUCUUAUCCAACUAAACAAUCCUCUUCACCAUCCCCUUAUCCAUCGCCAAGUGUUCCUCCACCGCCACCUCCUUCAACUCCACCACCACCACCACCUCCAUCUCCUUCACCAAGUGAUUGUGGAGACUUUUCCUAUUGUUCAAGUGAUGAGACAUGCUGUUGCCUUUUUGAAUUCUAUGAUUAUUGCCUAAUAUACGGCUGCUGUGAAUAU